This 648-nucleotide ribosomal RNA is filed under the name Russula favrei. Its description in RNAcentral is "eukaryotic LSU rRNA". It matches the Rfam family "Eukaryotic large subunit ribosomal RNA", at positions 1 to 618 of the family's 3401-position model. Lineage: Eukaryota; Fungi; Basidiomycota; Agaricomycetes; Russulales; Russulaceae. RNAcentral also lists the same sequence under 1 other name. The record is from RNAcentral.
UGACCUCAAAUCGGGUGAGACUACCCGCUGAACUUAAGCAUAUCAAUAAGCGGAGGAAAAGAAACUAACAAGGAUUCCCCUAGUAACUGCGAGUGAAGCGGGAAAAGCUCAAAUUUAAAAUCUGGUGGUCUUUGGCCAUCCGAGUUGUAAUUUAGAGAAGCGUCUUCCGCGCUGGACCGUGCACAAGUCUCCUGGAAUGGAGCGUCAUAGAGGGUGAGAAUCCCGUCUUUGGCAUGGACACACCAGGGCUUUUGUGAUGCGCUCUCGAAGAGUCGAGUUGUUUGGGAAUGCAGCUCAAAAUGGGUGGUGAACUCCAUCUAAAGCUAAAUAUUGGCGAGAGACCGAUAGCGAACAAGUACCGUGAGGGAAAGAUGAAAAGCACUUUGGAAAGAGAGUGAAACAGUACGUGAAAUUGUUGAAAGGGAAACGCUUGAAGUCAGUCACGUCGACCGAGACUCAACCUUGCCUCGGCUUGGUGUACUUCUCGGCUGACGGGUCAGCAUCAAUUUUGCCCCUUGGAUAAUGACGAGGGAAAUGUGACACCUUUAUGGUGUGUUAUAGUCUCUCGUCGCAUGCAAGGGUUGGGAUUGAGGAACUCAGCACGCGCCCUUUGGGUGUCGGGGCUUUGCCCACGAUACGUGCUUAGGA